Molecule: long non-coding RNA, 360 nt
Filed under: Homo sapiens (human)
Lineage: Eukaryota; Metazoa; Chordata; Mammalia; Primates; Hominidae
Description: non-protein coding ZEB2-AS1:33
Source: RNAcentral
ACUAAAUCCUACAGAGUACAGGGCGGAAAACGGUGCACACCAUUCACAGAACUGGAGAACUCCAAGGGGCGAAAGUUAAAGGGAAAGAUCCCGGGUCCUCAAUCCAGAUAGUCUCUUCUUAUACAGAUAUCUCUAAUGACCAGAUUUGAGAUGCACAUCAAAUUGUGUAGGUAUCUCAGUACAGCUUCUGGAACAAAGUUCUCUGCCCUUUCUCUUAUUGUUAUUUUUUUCUUUUUAGGUACCAGAGCCAGAAAAAAAAAUGCUGCAUGGGAGCUGCAUCUUAGGGCAUGUGUAUUAGGGUGUGUGCAUGAUGAAUUUCUGGACUGGAUCCCAAUAUUAAAAAGUAGUUUGGCAUUUUAA